CCCAAAUGCCUGCUCUGCUUUGCAGAGAGCAUUCUCAUGCAGCGCCAAGGCCGGGCUGAGGGAAAACCUGGGGAAAAUAAAACUGCCACAGCACAAAACUGGCUGGAAGGAGCCUCCUUUCUGCUCCCUGGGGGAUCAGCCCCCUGCACCCACCAUUUGGCCACUUGCAGGUUGAACCCCAGCUGUCCCUCCUUUAGCCCAGAUAAGCUGUCCCCACCUCUCCAUCCUCCCUUGCAGGACAGGUUCCCCUGGCCUUACAUCACCCUUCAGUGCUCUCUGCUGGGCUCCCACUGAUUAAUCUGUAUUUUUCUUGAAAAGCAGCACUCAAAAUGAGGCAGAAAGCACCAGCUGAGCCCUGGUCAUGCUGAGCAGAGCAGAAAGCCUGCCUCACCUAUGAUCUCCCUUCUCCCAGUGAGGUGUUUGCAGGUUUCACAGCCAAGCAUCACACGCAGCUUGAGUUGCUCCCAAGACCCAGAGGAUCUCUUUUUCCUUUUGUUCCCCUGUUUAGCUAAUGGUUCCUGGCCCGGGAUGCAUGCCCUUCAUUUCUACCUCAGGGCAGCACUUCACACUUUUACUUAUCCAACCAAGUCACCUUCUCUCACUCCUCACCCAAUCUGGCCAUGAGCACAUAGAAUCCCUGCCCUCCCUUGAGCUCUCGGUCACUCUGCUGCUUGACCCCUGGUCCAUCCCUGAGCAAUUCACCCAGACACUGAUCGGGGUGGCCCCGUGGACUCAGCAUGUCCUACCACAGGGCACCACUGGUGAUGGCUGGUGGGGUGAUCCUCUGCCCAUGUCAUAACCUACUAAAAGCCACCGUUCCUUAUCAUCUGCAGGAGAGUGCUGUGUGAGAUGGCACCAGAAGCCUCCCUAAGCGAAGAUAUAUGAUAUUCAUUGCCUCUCCACAAGGCUUAUUGCCCUGUCAUAGGAGGAAAUAAGCUCUGAGGCACCUGAGCAGCCGGUUUCAAAAGGAACAAGCCUGCUUUCUCUGCCCUGCCGCGAUUACACCCGUAGCAGACCAGUGCAUUCCAGUCCUCUAUGGAGCACAGCUCGUGGCCAGCCUUACUUAGCUGGCCUUGCUUCAAACUCUGCAGACAACCACUCAAACAGACCAGAGCUCAUAUUUUCCAUCCAUUUCUAAAAUUCAACACUGUACCAAUACCUCAGAGAUGCUGAUCUCCUACAGCUCUCAGAGAGGUCUCCAAAUCCAAUUCACGGUGGAAACCCAUGUGGAGCUCAUCACACAGGAAGGCAGUGGAGAAGGACUCAUG
Molecule: long non-coding RNA, 1268 nt
Filed under: Gallus gallus (chicken)
Lineage: Eukaryota; Metazoa; Chordata; Aves; Galliformes; Phasianidae
Description: lncRNA (ENSGALG00010009017.1)
Source: RNAcentral